Molecule: ribosomal RNA, 476 nt
Filed under: uncultured bacterium
Lineage: Bacteria
Description: bacterial SSU rRNA
Rfam family: Bacterial small subunit ribosomal RNA
Source: RNAcentral
CUGGCGGCAUGCCUUACACAUGCAAGUCGAACGGCAGCACGGGAGCAAUCCUGGUGGCGAGUGGCGAACGGGUGAGUAAUAUAUCGGAACGUGCCCAGUCGUGGGGGAUAACGUAGCGAAAGCUACGCUAAUACCGCAUACGAUCUAUGGAUGAAAGCGGGGGAUCGCAAGACCUCGCGCGAUUGGAGCGGCCGAUAUCAGAUUAGGUAGUUGGUGAGGUAAAGGCUCACCAAGCCGACGAUCUGUAGCUGGUCUGAGAGGACGACCAGCCACACUGGGACUGAGACACGGCCCAGACUCCUACGGGAGGCAGCAGUGGGGAAUUUUGGACAAUGGGCGCAAGCCUGAUCCAGCAAUGCCGCGUGCAGGAUGAAGGCCUUCGGGUUGUAAACUGCUUUUGUACGGAACGAAACGGUGAGCUCUAAUACAGCUUGCUAAUGACAGUACCGUAAGAAUAAGCACCGGCUAACUACGUG